AUCGGUAUCGUCUAAUGGAAAGACAAGAGCUUCCAAACCUCUUGAUGUGGGUUCGAUUCCUACUACCGGUGC
This 72-nucleotide transfer RNA is filed under the name Microbacterium phage Big4. RNAcentral's name for it is "tRNA-Trp". It matches the Rfam family "tRNA". Rfam says of the family: Transfer RNA (tRNA) molecules are approximately 80 nucleotides in length. Their secondary structure includes four short double-helical elements and three loops (D, anti-codon, and T loops). Lineage: Duplodnaviria; Heunggongvirae; Uroviricota; Caudoviricetes. The record is from RNAcentral.